Molecule: ribosomal RNA, 489 nt
Filed under: Triticum aestivum (bread wheat)
Lineage: Eukaryota; Viridiplantae; Streptophyta; Magnoliopsida; Poales; Poaceae
Description: partial small subunit ribosomal RNA
Source: RNAcentral
GUCCUUGGCUCUUCCGAGGAGCGCGCCUUCUCCCUGAACCAGUCCCUCUUGCGCACGGAAACAUUCGACCUUACCGAAUUGGAGACGCCUUUCACCGAGGAUGAGAUUUGGAGGGCCAUCAAAUGCCUACCAACCGGAAAGGCUCCCGGCCCGGAUGGGUUCACGGCCGAAUUCCUGCUUGCCUGCUGGGACAUCAUCAAGCAUGACAUUUGCGAGGCAUUCGACAAGUUAUACACCACCAACGGGCGAGGUUUUCAGAAGCUCAACGAAGCGCUCCUCACUCUUCUACCCAAGCGCCCGGACGCCGCCGCCCUAUCGGACUACCGCCCCAUUAGCCUCAUCCACCUCAUUGCAAAGCUCUUUGCAAAGGUGUUGUCUCUUCGGCUUGCUCUUCGUCUUGGGGCCAUGGUCUCGACCAACCAAAGCACCUUUAUCGCCGGCUGGUGUAUCCACGACAACUUCCUGCUCGUCCAGCAGACGGCACGCCUC